GACGAACGCUGGCGGCGUGCUUAACACAUGCAAGUCGAACGGAAAGGCCCUGCUUUUGUGGGGUGCUCGAGUGGCGAACGGGUGAGUAACACGUGAGUAACCUGCCCUUGACUUUGGGAUAACUUCAGGAAACUGGGGCUAAUACCGGAUAGGAGCUCCUGCUGCAUGGUGGGGGUUGGAAAGUUUCGGCGGUUGGGGAUGGACUCGCGGCUUAUCAGCUUGUUGGUGGGGUAGUGGCUUACCAAGGCUUUGACGGGUAGCCGGCCUGAGAGGGUGACCAGCCACAUUGGGACUGAGAUACGGCCCAGACUCCUACGGGAGGCAGCAGUGGGGAAUAUUGCACAAUGGGCGGAAGCCUGAUGCAGCAACGCCGCGUGCGGGAUGACGGCCUUCGAGUUGUAAACCGCUUUCGCCUGUGACGAAGCGUGAGUGACGGUAAUGGGUAAAGAAGCACCGGCUAACUACGUG
RNAcentral lists this ribosomal RNA (468 nucleotides) under uncultured bacterium. RNAcentral's name for it is "partial 16S ribosomal RNA". It matches the Rfam family "Bacterial small subunit ribosomal RNA", at positions 28 to 507 of the family's 1533-position model. The record is from RNAcentral.